CGAAAAACACUGCCGAAAGGGUUAAACGCACCACAGAAGAGCGCAUAUUUAAAUAUUACUAGUCGACGGCGGAGGACAUACGGUACGCAAGCGAAAAACAGCAUUCUAAAACCACUGAAUUUCAUUCGAAAAUCAAACUGAAGGGCACUGGCGUGGAUGUAUAACGUGUCUUAAACUACUCGAAAUAAGGUGCGCAAUAAUACAUGACGAUCAAUAGUGUCAAAGCGACGAUAGUAUACACAGAGGAUGUUUAUCAGAUAUUUUCUACUACAGUCCAUUGCAGUCAAUUCAGAAUUUCAACACAGUACAAAAACUAAACAAAUGAAAUAACAAUUUAUUGUUUAAAAUAAUUUUUAUUUAUAUACUUA
Molecule: long non-coding RNA, 368 nt
Organism: Melanaphis sacchari
Lineage: Eukaryota; Metazoa; Arthropoda; Insecta; Hemiptera; Aphididae
Exons: 3
Source: RefSeq, a predicted model, not a curated record